AUGGGGCAGGGACCCAAUUCUAUGGGGCUGGGACCCCCAUCUAUGGGGCAGGGACCCACAUAUGGGGGGUAAAACCCACAUCUAUGGGGCAGGGACCCCCAUCUAUGGGGCAGGGACCCUCCUAUGGGGGGCGGGGACCCCAUCUAUGGGGCUGGGACCCACAUAUAGGGGACAGAGACCCAAUUCUAUGGGGCUGGGACCCCCAUCUAUGGGGCAGGGACCCACAUAUGGGGGGUAAAACCCACAUCUAUGGGGCAGGGACCCAAUUCUAUGGGGCUGGGACCCCCAUCUAUGGGGCAGGGACCCACAUAUGGGGGGUAAAACCCAAUUCUAUGGGGCAGGGACCCCCAUCUAUGGGGUAGGGACCCUCCUAUGGGGGGCGGGGACCCCAUCUAUGGGGCUGGGACCCACAUAUAGGGGACAGAGACCCAAUUCUAUGGGGCAGGGACCCCCAUCUAUGGGGCAGGGACCCUCCUAUGGGGGUCGGGGACCCCAUCUAUGGGGCUGGGACCCACAUAUAGGGGGCAGGGACCCAAUUCUAUGGGGCUGGGACCCCCAUCUAUGGGGCAGGGACCCUCCUGGGGGGGCGGGGACCCAAUUCUAUGGGUCCGUGCCCCCCCACUUGUGGGGCGCUCACCAGGAAGGGCCCCCCGCAGUGCCCACAGGCCACUCGGAGGCCGCCGGGGGGGGGGUCGGGGCUGGGGGCCCCCCCCUGCACCGGGCCCAGGUUGAUGAUGCGCUUACUGGGGGGAACUGGUUUAUACUGGGGGGAACUGGUUUGUACUGGGAGGGGACUGGGUUGUACCGGGAGGGGACUGGGUUGGGCUGGGAGGGGACUGGUUGGGGCUGGGAGGGGACGGGGGCCACCCCCCAGUACAAACCAGUCCCUCCCAGUGACCCCCCAUCCCCUCCCAGUAUAAACCAGUUCAUCCCAGUUCCCUCCCGGUGGCCCCCAAACCCCCUCCCAGUCCCUCCCAGUAUAAACCAUUUGCCCCCCAGUGCCACCAAACCCCCUCCCAGUGCUCCCCGCUCUCCUCCCAGUCCCUCCCAGUAUGACCCAGUACAUCCCAGUUCCCUCCCAGUCCCCCCCCCUCCAUAAACCAGUCCCUCCCAGUGCCCCCAUUCCCCCUCCCAGUACAAACCAGUCCCUCCCACUGCCCUCCACUCCCCUCCCAG
RNAcentral lists this long non-coding RNA (1176 nucleotides) under Calidris pygmaea (Spoon-billed sandpiper). Its description in RNAcentral is "lncRNA (ENSCPGG00000002658.1)". The record is from RNAcentral. Lineage: Eukaryota; Metazoa; Chordata; Aves; Charadriiformes; Scolopacidae.